AACGAACGCUGGCGGCGCGUCUUAAGCAUGCAAGUCGAACGGCAAGGAAGUGCUUGCACUUCCCUAGAGUGGCGGACUGGUGAGUAACACGUGGGUGACAUACCUUUUAGUUGGGGAUAGCUAUUAGAAAUAGUAGAUAAUACCGAAUGUGACCAUUGCAGUUAGAGUGCGAUGAGGAAAGGAGCUAAGGCUCCGCUAAAAGAUUGGCCCGCGGCCCAUUAGCUAGUUGGUGAGGUAACGGCCCACCAAGGCAAUGAUGGGUAUCCGGCCUGAGAGGGUGAUCGGACACAUUGGGACUGAGAUACGGCCCAGACUCCUACGGGAGGCUG
Molecule: ribosomal RNA, 329 nt
Filed under: uncultured bacterium
Lineage: Bacteria
Description: bacterial SSU rRNA
Rfam family: Bacterial small subunit ribosomal RNA
Source: RNAcentral